This 1030-nucleotide long non-coding RNA is filed under the name Anas platyrhynchos platyrhynchos (common mallard). RNAcentral describes it as "lncRNA (ENSAPLG00000017512.1)". Lineage: Eukaryota; Metazoa; Chordata; Aves; Anseriformes; Anatidae. The record is from RNAcentral.
AAAUUACAAACAGACUGUUGGAUAUGUUUUCCUUACACUCUAACAGUGCCAUGUAAUGAAGGGAAGGGAUGAAAGGUUAAUGUUUCACUGGCAACAGCUGGCAUCGUGUAGAAAAUGGUGAAAGUGGCUAUUUUAGUUUGACUAAAUGAGCUAUUGAUGUACACAAUUACCCACUCCUAAAGAGAUGUGAAUUUCAUGGGCACAACUGGCACAUCUUGCAUCACAGCUUCAUAUAGUAUUUUCAUGGUCAUGCUGUCACUGGAAGACCCUAUAUGCUGGCAGUCGGAUGUUGAUAUACAACAUGGCUACCUCAGCCAGUUCAGGAAGGAGCUGCUUUACAGUGACAGUUGUGCUCUGCAGGGGCCCUCAUGUUUCCAUCUUAGCUCACCAGGCCUACCAAGCAUUUGCUUCACAGAUGGCUUGCACAUGCAUGACAAAUCUAAUGUAUUCUGGGCAUACUGUGUGCAUGCAGCAGCCAUUUGUCCUCAGCUUCUGGGUGUCAGGCAGCCUGGUUCAGCUCUUGCCCCAGCUGGCCUCCUUGCCAUCUGGAAAUCCCUGACACACAGAUGGAAGCUGGGAAAGGUGAAGGAAGCAGCUCCAUGCACCAUUUCCUGCAAGGCACAGCUGUAUAAAGACUGGGUGAAACUUACUUCUGCACCACUGCUUACAAUAAGAAAUGAAAUGCUACAACCGGUGUUUGCAUUUUUUUUAUUUAAGAUUUCGAAAGUGAAGAAAGCACUUGAGUCACCACCAAGAAAAGAAAAACAACUCAAAAGGAAAAGACCACCUACAACUGAUGAGGGGCCAGACACCUGCCUUUAAUUGAGUGCCUAAAGAAAACACUAUAUGGCCACCCUUUAAUUUGUAAUGAGUUCUGACUUGCUUUGACACAAGCUAUGUGAACUGCCAUGUGUGCUGUUAGUUGACAGCAAAAAGGAAAUUCUUAUGCUGGAGCAUGUUAUGUGUCUGUGCAGACCUGAAGGAUGGUCCAAAAUGUGAAAAACAGAAUAAAACCCUGCUUGGCUGAACA